ACUUCUAGUGUCUGAGGAACAUUUGAAAAAAUAAACUAAACUGGCGUCAUCCUGAUCCCAGCAGCUUAGUUAUUAACGUAAAAAGUCCAGAGAGGCUUCCUUUUUGAGUCUAUUUGGGAAGGACUGAGCUGAAGAUUUGCUGUGGGUGGGAUUAGAUGAUGCGGCCUAAGCUAAGAGCAGAGCAGUGUUGAGGCCACUCUUGACUCUCACCUAAAUUGGGACUUGGAUGCCUCCUUCAAUCAAAUUCUUUAAUGUUGCGUUAAAGAAGCUAAGCUUGAGAUCUCAUCUGGCCUAGAACAAUUUUCUUCAGGCAUUCAGCAGCCUUCAGAAAGAAGUAUCUUAAUUUUGCCUAGUUUUAUUGUUCCAAUUUACUAUGUGUUUCUUACUCAAUAAACAAGCAGAAUUUUUGUCCUGCUUUAUCUAGGUAUUAAAGACGAGAAGUUGGAUCCACUGAGUUAGUAUGUUUCCUUGAAAAAGAAAAGUGAUUAAACUUAAGUUUAAGCCUUCUUUUGUAUUGUAACUUUUUCAUAAAAGUAACUUGAAAUCUUAACAAACUAGACACAGUGCAAAUUAUUACAUGUACAUGGACUUGUAGUGUUCUGAAAUAAGGGAUUUUUAAGGAAAUAAUUGCAUUAUUAUUGACUGUGUUCAAAGGUACAUUUAAGACCAGUUUCAUUGGCAUAAUUGCGUAUGGUCUCAGCUACUAGGAGGCAGAGGCAAGAGGAUCAGGCACUAGAAAGAGUUCCUUCAACAGUAGGUGGGUGGAGUAGGUUACCAAGAGGUAUUUUCUUUAAGCACAAUACUGCUUGCUACUAAAAUAAGUGAUUCUGGGGCAGGAGAGAUAAGUUGGUGCUUGCCUUGUAAGAAAUAGGACCUGAGUUAAUCCCUGGAACCCACAUUUAGAAAGCCAACAAGCUCCGAUAAGCAAAAGCUACACAGAGAAAACCUGUCUCAGGAAAAGAAAAAACUAAAGAAAGGAAGAAAAAGGCCAGCAAGGGCUGGGCAUCGUGUGCAGCACAUGCCCUGAGUUCCAGCAAACAGAUCUCUGAGUUUAAGGCCAACCAAGGUGACUAAGACCCUGUCUCAAACACAACAGAGCUAACAGGCUGUAAUGAUGUGUACUUGUGAGCAAAGGCCUGAGUCAGCCUAAUCAAUGAGUUCCAGGGCCCCAAUGGAAGACCCUGAUUAUAAAAGGUGAGAUUUCUUUAAACAUCUGUAAAAAUUAGUGUCUAGAUAGAACAAAAAGCUCUCUGUGUACAUAAAGUUAAGAAAGUGCUUCUACCCCAAUGGUGGCUUGAAACAAGCAUGAGAAACCUAGUCUUAGACCUUUUGCCUCUCCCAUCAUGUAGGUUAAUGGUGACUUGAAACUCUAGGUUAUAGUGUAUACAUAGAACUAUAGGCUAUUUCAUAUCUAUCUACUCAAAAAUCAGAGAAAAUGGCUAAGUGGUGGCACACACCUUUAAUCUCAGCCUCAGGGGACGGGGGUAUGAUCUCUUGAGUUUGAGGACUGCCAGGGCUGUGUAGGAAAACUGUCUUCGAGACAAAAAUGUAGAACUUACUUCUUAGAAUGCUCCUUUUGGUCAUAUCUCAGAAGCUUGCAUGUGAGUUUCAUAAAUCUUCAGCAAAUGGGUUUCUAUCAUAGACACUCUCUUCUGCAAAGAUCUUCUCAAUGUUAACAUUUACUGAUAAUUUUUUAUAGUUCCUUUGAGUUUGUAGAGAGGAUGUUUUGGUUUCUCGACAAGUGGUUUUUUGUUUCAUUUUGUAUAUUUCUUUCAUAGAAAUUAUAGAAAGUUUAAUCUUGCUUUUUUGGUUAAUACUUGUUUUGUAAUAAGGUGGGUUUCUGGUCCGAUUACUUGUAGGCCUUUCAGUUAUUGCAUAUUUCAUAGACAAUGUUUUUUUUCUAAUGUCUCUUGGAUUUUUUUUUCCAAUGCUGAAAUGUCUAAAACAAUAGAAUAAUUUGGAGGGCUCCCUAGUGAGAUCUCUUAUUAGAAGCACAGUACAUAUAGAAAAAGUUUAAGAUCACUGUUUCUUCAGCUAUGGACAGCAUAGGAGAGAAACUUAGCUAGAUCAUUUAGAAGGCAGAUUCUCAUGGGAUUCUGCUCUCCUGUCUUUAGCUGCUCACUGUCUCAGACAUAAGUAUUUAUGUCUUUAUUACAAUAGAAAAGGUUGUGCCGACCUUCCAAGGUGUGGCCUUCCCUCACCC
Molecule: long non-coding RNA, 2203 nt
Filed under: Rattus norvegicus (Norway rat)
Lineage: Eukaryota; Metazoa; Chordata; Mammalia; Rodentia; Muridae
Description: long non-coding RNA NONRATT013497
Source: RNAcentral